RNAcentral lists this ribosomal RNA (429 nucleotides) under Chloroflexota bacterium. RNAcentral describes it as "Chloroflexi bacterium partial 16S ribosomal RNA". It matches the Rfam family "Bacterial small subunit ribosomal RNA", at positions 355 to 776 of the family's 1533-position model. The record is from RNAcentral. Lineage: Bacteria; Bacillati; Chloroflexota.
UGGGGAAUAUUGCACAAUGGGCGCAAGCCUGAUGCAGCCAUGCCGCGUGUGUGAAGAAGGCCUUCGGGUUGUAAAGCACUUUCAGCGGGGAGGAAGGCGUUAAGGUUAAUAACCUUGGCGAUUGACGUUACCCGCAGAAGAAGCACCGGCUAACUCCGUGCCAGCAGCCGCGGUAAUACGGAGGGUGCAAGCGUUAAUCGGAAUUACUGGGCGUAAAGCGCACGCAGGCGGUCUGUCAAGUCGGAUGUGAAAUCCCCGGGCUCAACCUGGGACCUGCAUUCGAAACUGGCAGGCUAGAGUCUUGUAGAGGGGGGUAGAAUUCCAGGUGUAGCGGUGAAAUGCGUAGAGAUCUGGAGGAAUACCGGUGGCGAAGGCGGCCCCCUGGACAAAGACUGACGCUCAGGUGCGAAAGCGUGGGGAGCAAACAGG